This 93-nucleotide microRNA precursor is filed under the name Dasypus novemcinctus (nine-banded armadillo). RNAcentral describes it as "miRNA (ENSDNOG00000039363.1)". Lineage: Eukaryota; Metazoa; Chordata; Mammalia; Cingulata; Dasypodidae. The record is from RNAcentral.
AUAUAAAUAAUGCAUUGUGUGUAUGUGUGUGUGUGUGUGUAUAAUGUAUAUAUACACAUAUAUACAUACACACAUAGAUAUGCAUUAUAUCUA